This 509-nucleotide long non-coding RNA is filed under the name Bos indicus x Bos taurus (hybrid cattle). RNAcentral describes it as "lncRNA (ENSBIXG00000016663.1)". Lineage: Eukaryota; Metazoa; Chordata; Mammalia; Artiodactyla; Bovidae. The record is from RNAcentral.
CUUUUCCUGAUCUUUUCUGUCAAAACAAACACCCUUUCUAUAAGGAAUAAGGCCAGACAUUGUAUAUUUUUAUAUUUAGGUCAAGGAAGCGAGAUUGAGAGAGGUUAAGUGUCUUGCCAAGUCUCACACUAAGUCGAACGAUGGGCUGGUGAGGCACAUUGAAAAAGAGAGUCAAUAAAGCAAGACUUCUUGGCAGCUGGGGACUCUGGGACUUCUUCCUGCCACAUAUGAACCACAAAUAGACGAGGACUAUAAGGGAGUUCAUUGGUUUGGAAGAAGGUACUCAAAGGUCUCAGGGGCUCACCCUUGGGGUAAAGACCUUUCUGACAACACAGCUUUGACUGGCAUGGCACUGGACUAAAAUCAAGAGACUCAAGAUCUACCCAUGGCUAAAGAGCUUACCAUUCACUGCCCUUGGUAAGUCAUGCUUCUUCCUUGAGCUGAGAUUAUUUCAGUAAGAUCAGGGGGGUAGAUCUGAUGACUUCCAGUUCACACCUACCUAGUAAAAG